This 876-nucleotide ribosomal RNA is filed under the name uncultured Oscillatoriales cyanobacterium. RNAcentral's name for it is "bacterial SSU rRNA". It matches the Rfam family "Bacterial small subunit ribosomal RNA", at positions 22 to 942 of the family's 1533-position model. Lineage: Bacteria; Bacillati; Cyanobacteriota; Cyanophyceae; Oscillatoriales. The record is from RNAcentral.
GCUCAGGAUGAACGCUGGCGGUCUGCUUAACACAUGCAAGUCGAACGAGCACUUCGGUGCUAGUGGCGGACGGGUGAGUAACACGUGAGAAUCUACCCUCAGGAGGGGGAUAACGGCUGGAAACGGCCGCUAAUACCCCAUAUGCCGCAAGGUGAAAUCUUUUUUGGCCUGAGGAUGAGCUCGCGGUGGAUUAGCUAGUUGGUGGGGUAAUGGCCUACCAAGGCGACGAUCCAUAGCUGGUCUGAGAGGAUGAUCAGCCACACUGGGACUGAGACACGGCCCAGACUCCUACGGGAGGCAGCAGUGGGGAAUUUUCCGCAAUGGGCGAAAGCCUGACGGAGCAAGACCGCGUGAGGGAUGAAGGCCUUUGGGUUGUAAACCUCUUUUGUCAGGGAAGAAGGACUGACGGUACCUGACGAAUCAGCAUCGGCUAACUCCGUGCCAGCAGCCGCGGUAAUACGGAGGAUGCAAGCGUUAUCCGGAUUUAUUGGGCGUAAAGGGUCCGCAGGUGGUUUUUCAAGUCUGCCGUCAAAGCGCGGAGCUUAACUCCGUACAGGCGGUGGAAACUGAGAGACUAGAGUCUGGUAGGGGUCGCGGGAAUUCCCAGUGUAGCGGUGAAAUGCGUAGAUAUUGGGAAGAACACCGGCGGCGAAAGCGCGCGACUGGACCGGAACUGACACUGAGGGACGAAAGCUAGGGGAGCGAAAGGGAUUAGAUACCCCUGUAGUCCUAGCCGUAAACGAUGGAGACUAGGUGUUGCCCGUAUCGACCCGGGCAGUGCCGUAGCUAACGCGUUAAGUCUCCCGCCUGGGGAGUACGCACGCAAGUGUGAAACUCAAAUGAAUUGACGGGGAAAACUCAAAUGAAUUGACGGGG